GACGAACGCUGGCGGCGUGCUUAACACAUGCAAGUCGAACGGAAAGGCCCUGCUUUUGUGGGGUGCUCGAGUGGCGAACGGGUGUGUAACACGUGAGUAAUCUGCCCUAGACUUUGGGAUAACUUCAGGAAACUGGGGAUAAUACCGGAUAGGAGCUCCUGCUGCAUGGUGGGGGUUGGAAAGUUUCGGCGGUUGGGGAUGGACUCGCGGCUUAUCAGCUUGUUGGUGGGGUAGUGGCUUACCAAGGCUUUGACGGGUAGCCGGCCUGAGAGGGUGACCGGCCACAUGGGGACUGAGAUACGGCCCAGACUCCUACGGGAGGCAGCAGUGGGGAAUAUUGCACAAUGGGCGGAAGCCUGAUGCAGCAACGCCGCGUGCGGGAUGACGGCCUUCGGGUUGUAAACCGCUUUCGCCUGUGACGAAGCGUGAGUGACGGUAAUGGGUAAAGAAGCACCGGCUAACUACGUG
This 468-nucleotide ribosomal RNA is filed under the name uncultured bacterium. Its description in RNAcentral is "partial 16S ribosomal RNA". It matches the Rfam family "Bacterial small subunit ribosomal RNA", at positions 28 to 507 of the family's 1533-position model. The record is from RNAcentral.